This 1007-nucleotide ribosomal RNA is filed under the name Hypoglossum hypoglossoides. RNAcentral describes it as "LSU rRNA". It matches the Rfam family "Eukaryotic large subunit ribosomal RNA", at positions 859 to 1835 of the family's 3401-position model. Lineage: Eukaryota; Rhodophyta; Florideophyceae; Ceramiales; Delesseriaceae. The record is from RNAcentral.
AAACUCUGGUGGAGGCUCGCAGCGGUGCUGACGUGCAAAUCGCUCGUCAAAUUUGAGUAUAGGGGCGAAAGACUAAUCGAACCAUCUAGUAGCUGGUUUCCUCCGAAGUUUCUCUCAGGAUAGCAGGCCCAAAUUAAGUUGUUGUGUGUGGUAAAGCGAAUGAUUAGCAUACUCGGGGGCAUUAAGCCUUCGGAUGAUUCUCAAACUUUAAAUGCGCACGGAUAUUGCCGCUUUGUUGGGCGAUAUCGUUAAAAACUUGGGCUUUGUGGGCCAUUUUUGGUAAGCAGAACUGGCGAUACGGGAUGAACCGUAAGCGUGGUUAAGGCGUCAAAGUGUCCGCUUAAAGAUCCCAAAAAAGGUGUUGAUUCAUCGAGACAGCAGGACGGUGGCCAUGGAAGUCGGAAUCCGCUAAGGAGUGUGUAACAACUCACCUGCCGAAUGAAUUAGCCCUGAAAAUGGAUGGCGCUAAAGCGGGCCGCCGACACCACGUCGUUUAUGCAAAGGAAUAAAUAAAUAAGCUUAAAUGAGUAGGAGGAACGUGGUGGUUGUACCGAAGCGUGCGUGCAAACGUGCGUGGAACGGCCACUAGUGCAGAUCUUGGUGUAAGUAGCAAAUAUUCAAGCGAGAACCUUGAAGGGCGAAGCGGGGAAGGGUUCCACGCGAACAUUGAUUGGGCGUGGGUGAGUCGUUCCUAAGCCGCGUGGCAAUAGCUAAUUACCGGCGAAAGGGAAGCAGGUUGACAUUCCUGCACACGGAUGUGGUUAGCGGUGACGCAUAUAUGUGAAAUGAGGAGGCGGUGAAGCUGGCGGUGGCUCUGGGCAGAGUUUUCUUUUCUGUUUAACUGACUUGAAUUCCGUCGUGUGGAAUCCGCUUGUCGGGAGAAACACACGGGUUUAGGAAUAGCGCCGGGACUUUUUCCGGGCGUCCAGAUCGCCAUCGUCGGACCUUGAAAAACUGCCUGCAGGCGCAAGCCUAUAAAUACUAGUUAGACGUAUUUGAAAACCCCC